Long non-coding RNA from Bubalus bubalis (water buffalo), 2239 nucleotides. RefSeq lists it as uncharacterized. The record is from RefSeq and is a predicted model, not a curated record. The transcript is spliced from 2 exons. NCBI's taxonomy places the organism in Eukaryota, Metazoa, Chordata, Mammalia, Artiodactyla, Bovidae.
UGGGGAGUGGGAGGGGUGGAAGCGGAUAGACUUUACAGUGCUCUUGCUUUGUGGGAGAUAAGAAAUACCAUCGCCAGCGAAGGUAGAGGAUUUGCAGGCCCGAGGAUUGAGCUCCACCCAGGAAUGCCUGGCUGAUGAUGGAGGUGGGCAGAUGGUGAGGACACCCUAAGCACCCAGCUCCUCACAGGCGGCAGGCAGAGUGGGCGAAACAGUUCCUGAAAUAAAUCCCUGGGACUUGGCCCAGGGAGGGAGUGAGGCUGAGAUAGGAGCGCAUGCUCUGAAGGGAGUGUGAACAGAUUUGAGCUUGAAGGAGGGCAGCUGGGGCCCGGGACCUACCCCCCGCCCCGCGCCCCCACCCCGCGCCCCCACCCACUAACCUAUAGGGCCCCCCACCAGCCGCUAUAACUCAUGGGAUCCCGGAACCGGAACCGGAAGCCAAAGUGUGAAGCAUCAGAUCUCUCGGCUACCCUGAACUGUUGGGGACUCCAUCUCUAUUUAGUUUAUUCAGAUGCUGACUCUUAUCCCUCAGGAGAGAGAAGGCAGAAGUGCUUGCUCAUUCCCUGGAACUCUCCCAGUGUAAUGGGGGAGGAACAGAGCCACCAGUCAGAUCAGACAGCAUCUCAGAAAGUAACCCACAAAGCAAGGCUUCUGUGACCUUGACCAAGUCAUUUCUUGUCCCCUGACCUCAGUUUACCCAUCUGUAAAAGGAGGGGGUUGAAUACAUAAUUAUCUUUUCUGGUUUUCUUUCUCUGGUCCUCAGUAGGAGGUGGGCAUGGGGAACUCCUUAAUGAUCUUUCUGUCUUCCUCUUAUCUUUUGUUGAAAUGACCUUGUUUUGUUUUUAAGUUUGUUUACUGUCUGCCUUCAUCUCCAGGUUGUACAGGACAGCCUUCAUCCAUUUUGCACACCAAUCUAUCCCCAGGACAGUGGCAGGCACACUCGUAAGUGUGGUGGAUGAUCAUCUUGUAUCUGUGGAAUUCGGGGUGUCCACCCAAGGGUUGGAGGGUUGGGGUGUCACCUCAGUGAAGAAUCUAUUUUAGUCUAUAGAUGCUAAUAACAUUCAGGAAAGACACUAUCAAAUAAGGUUAGGGAGUUUAUCUGGGAGGGUUUCCUGGAGGAGGUGAGGAAAAGAAGCAGAUAUAGAACUGGAAUUAAGUAUUCUGAUUAAGUAAGAGAGGAGGACCAUGGGAUUGGAAGUACUUUCUUGGUCCUACCUACUGCUCGGGAGGCAAGACCUGAGGUUGAGGUUUAACAGACAGUUUCGCUCCUCUCUUCCCAGUAAUUAGUUACCUGGCCUGGGACACUGCCUAGAAUCUUGUUCACCACUCCCCUAUCCCAGCUCCUCCCAAGUUCACCCCAGGAUGGUCAAACUGUAUCUAGAUCCCAUUAUCUGCCUCAGCACUCCAGAGGAGCCCAGUGUAGGGCAGGGGAUAGGGAAGGGACUCGCAAGUUCUAGACUUGUGAUACCCAAUAUGGCAGCCACCAGCCAUAUGUGGCCACUGAGCAGGGGAAAUGUAACUGAUCUGAGACCUAUAAAUAUGAAACAUACAACAGAUUUUGAAGCCUUAGUAUGAAAAAAGAAUUUAUAUAUCUCAUACUUUUUUAUAUAGAUAUGUUGAGUUUUUGAAUAUAUUGAGUUAAAAUGCUUCAUUAAAAUUAGUUUCAUCUGCUUCAUUUUACCUUUAAAAAAUGUGGCUCCCAGAAAUUCUUAAAUUACAUAUGUUGUUCAUAUUCAAUUUCUUUUAAAAAUAUUGUUAUUAUUUAAAAUUUGUAUAUUUAUUUGAUGGUGUUGGGUCUUAUUUGCAGCAUUCAAACUUCUUAGUUGUGGCGUGUGGAAUCUAGUUCCAUGAUCAAGAAUCGACCCUGUGCCCCCUGCAGUGGAAGUUCUGAGUCAUAACCACUGGACCAUCAGGGAAUUCCUUCAAUUUAAUUGAAAACACCUUAUCAAACUAUGAUUCUCACUGAUUCAAACCUGAUUACUUUGAAGGUGAUUUUAUAGCUUCAAUCAGGGUGUGUUCAUGCUAUAAACCAUCUCUUUAACUGUUUGUUUGCUGAUGAGCCCAGUUAACUAGAAUCCACAGAAAAUUCCUAACCUGAUUUUACUCAAUAGCUUUUGACCUUUCAUCAUACUGCUGAGAUAGUAGCAACAGUGUUGAUAGACUGAAGUUUCAUCAUCUUCCCAUCACUUGCUCCUUCCUCAGCCCAGCCCUCUCCCAACCCCUGAAAGGUGCUGGAGCAGAA